GCGUCGGUGGAAGUUACGUAAGUUGCAAACCUCCAUAUAUAACAACACGUGGCCAAGAAAAUUUACGGUACGAUUGUCCCAACCUCUAUACGUACGGUGCACAGUGCUCUCUGUCCUGCAUAGGCGGAUAUCUGCUAGAGGGAGCCACUCAAAUCCGCUGUUUGAAAGAUAGAAACGAUAACCUUGACUGGCUGUGGAAUCAAGACGACAUGCAUCCGAUCUGCAAAGAAACAAAUUGCACAAAACUUCAAGAACCCAGAAACGGUGCAAUGUCAUACAGUCAAUGGACCUAUGGUCAGAUGUGUAUCAUGCAGUGCCAAAAAGGGUAUGACGUUCCUGCAAGCAUCGAUGGACAAUUUGUGUGUGGUACAUCAAAUGGAAAAUGGAGGCCGCAUGAUCACAUCCCAGAGUGUUAUGCGACAGUCUAUCCGCAUAGUAUGCAUCUUCCAUCUGACUUCUACUAUUAUACGGACAAAUGCAAUUCGUCAGCCGAAAAUUUAUUAGAAAUAAAAGAAAACUUCGUUCAAGCCCUAAACACAUCUAAAUAUUUUGAAUACUGCCUUAAUAACCCAGAUUGCCAGGCAAAAUAUGUAAGGGUCUCUUGUGGGCCAACUUCGUCGAAAAGGGAACGAGAUAUCCAUGUUAACCCUAGACCGGAACGUUUAGCGUAUAUUGUUGAGAUUGAUAUAAUAUUGCCCCUGAAUAUUGUAAAUGACGAAACAAAACAGGAAGCUAUUUAAAGAUAUGAGGAAACAUUAAUUGGAAUUUCAAUAAAUAUUAGGAGAGCACCAAUGGAUGGCUUAUUCGAUAUUCCCGGGCUGCGGGUGGAAGAUGUUUCUUUUAAAGUCGGAUUGCCAACAAUACAAUGUCCAACUGGAAUGGUGCCGCGCACGAAGGAAAAUACGUGUGUUGGUUGUCCUGUCGGUCAGUUUAUGUCCAAUAUGACAGACCGAUGUGAAGUCUGCCCCGUUGGCACUUAUCAAAAUAUCCCGAACAGCGUUGUCUGUAAAACAUGUCCGCCAGUGAGUAACACUACCGCCAAUGCGUCUACAAGCAUAACUCAGUGUAGAGCCUAUUGUCCUCCCGAUGAAUAUUCUUCUACCGCAUUGUCGCCAUGUACACAAUGUCCUAGCGACUCCUACCAAGAUUCUGCCAUGUCCAGUACAUGCUUGGCAUGUCCAUCUGGGACACGUACAAUUGCAGAAGGGG
Molecule: long non-coding RNA, 1209 nt
Organism: Dreissena polymorpha
Lineage: Eukaryota; Metazoa; Mollusca; Bivalvia; Myida; Dreissenidae
Exons: 6
Source: RefSeq, a predicted model, not a curated record